Acanthoscelides obtectus is the source of this 78-nucleotide non-coding RNA. Lineage: Eukaryota; Metazoa; Arthropoda; Insecta; Coleoptera; Chrysomelidae. The record is from the annotation of a GenBank genome assembly.
AGCUGGGUGGUGCAGUGGGUAGCACUGCGCAUCCUUUAACGCCGUGAGCUGCGCGGGUUCAAAUCCCAUCCCAAGUUA